UGCCAGCCGCCGCGGUAAUACGGAGGGGGCAAGCGUUGUUCGGAAUUACUGGGCGUAAAGCGCACGUAGGCGGACUGAUCAGUUGGGGGUGAAAUCCCGAGGCUUAACCUCGGAACUGCCUUCAAUACUGUCAGUCUUGAGAUCGGAAGAGGUGAGUGGAAUUUUAUAUGGAAGGGUGGAAUCUUGAUAUAUGUAAAGGAAUACCAGAGAUGAAGGUGAUUGUCCAUAUCUAAACUAUCAUUGAGGAACGAAAGCGUAGGUAGCGAUUGGGAUUAGAUA
This 279-nucleotide ribosomal RNA is filed under the name uncultured bacterium. RNAcentral describes it as "partial 16S ribosomal RNA". It matches the Rfam family "Bacterial small subunit ribosomal RNA", at positions 506 to 784 of the family's 1533-position model. The record is from RNAcentral.